Molecule: small RNA, 566 nt
Filed under: Oryza sativa Japonica Group (Japanese rice)
Lineage: Eukaryota; Viridiplantae; Streptophyta; Magnoliopsida; Poales; Poaceae
Description: sRNA Os04g0604251
Source: RNAcentral
CCUGCCGGCGACGACGACGACGCGGCUUCCGUGGCGGUGAAGUUGCGGUACCGCGCGACGAACGGCGCCUGCGACCAGUCCGUCUUGACGCGCCCGCCCUGCGUGGCCCAGUCGUCGGCGUUCCACAGGCUCCCGUACAGCCGCAUCCGCUGCGACGACGGGUAGGCGAUCCCCUUGUCCGCGUGGUUCUUCAUCUCCCGGAUCGGCUGAAUUGCAUGAGCUUACAGGAUGUGCUGCGAGGUCCAGACGAUGGAGUAGGUGUGGAAGUCGGUGGUGGGGUCGAACCAGAGGUGGAACUGCUGCUCUUUGCCGCCGGUGCCAUUGGCGAAGACGUUGGUGUGCAGCGUGUACGGCUGCCCGGUGACGUUGCCGAGGAACUCCAGGUCCACCUCAUCUGCGAGUGCUGGCUUACGUAGCAGGUGGUGACCGUGCCGGCGGAGUUGUUGGCGACGAGCUUGAUCUGCAGGUCGACGCGCGCGAACAGGUACGUGUUCUUGGACCUCCACCCGGAGCCGGAGGUGUGGUCGAGCGACAGCGCCAUCACCUGCCCGUCCGGCGAGACGCUC